GAUGAACGCUAGCGGCAGGCUUAAUACAUGCAAGUCGUGGGGCAGCAGGACUGUAGCAAUACAGUUGCUGGCGACCGGCAAACGGGUGCGGAACACGUACGCAACUUACCCUGAACUGGGGGAUAGCCCGGGGAAACCCGGAUUAAUACCCCGUAAUAUAAUGGAGUGGCAUCACUUUAUUAUUAAAGCUCCGGCGGUUCGGGAUGGGCGUGCGGCUGAUUAGGUAGUUGGUUGAGGUAACGGCUCACCAAGCCUACGAUCAGUAACUGGUGUGAGAGCACGACCAGUCACACGGGCACUGAGACACGGGCCCGACUCCUACGGGAGGCAGCAGUAAGGAAUAUUGGGCAAUGGAGGCAACUCUGACCCAGCCAUGCCGCGUGGAGGAUGAAGGCCCUCUGGGUUGUAAACUUCUUUUAUAGGGGGCGAAACCUGUGUAUUCUUACGCAGUUGACGGUACCCGAGGAAUAAGCACCGGCUAACUCCGUG
This 489-nucleotide ribosomal RNA is filed under the name uncultured bacterium. RNAcentral describes it as "partial 16S ribosomal RNA". It matches the Rfam family "Bacterial small subunit ribosomal RNA", at positions 28 to 507 of the family's 1533-position model. The record is from RNAcentral.